Molecule: long non-coding RNA, 1374 nt
Organism: Peromyscus californicus insignis
Lineage: Eukaryota; Metazoa; Chordata; Mammalia; Rodentia; Cricetidae
Exons: 3
Source: RefSeq, a predicted model, not a curated record
GUGACUUACCAGCUGAAAGUCAGAGGGAGACACUGAAGUGAGCAGUCAGAGACGCUGAUGCUUCACAUCCAAACCUGGCACACACUUUCCAGUAUAUCUCUCAGUCAACAAGGUAGCAGUGGCUUUACAGUUAUCAGUGAGAUGCACUCCAUAUCCUACUAUAUGGCUACACAUGGCCUAAGAAUCCUCAACAUGGUACUGCAAACAGAAUCAACUGAGGUGAAACAAGGCAGAGAACCUGCUUAGUGUUCUUGGCCUAUUGAGAGAGACAUUCAAGGCUUACUGGGAAAAAUAGGUCUCAUUAUAUACUCCUGGAUGGCUUGAACUUCCCAUGUAGACCAGGCUAUCUUCAAAUUCAGAGUUCUGGGAUCAAAGACGCCAUUCCCAGCUGGAGUCUAGAUCUUGAACUCAAGAUUUUAUCUCCUCUGCCUGAAUGCUGAGAUUACAGGUAUGUACCAUGCCUGACUGUCACUUGGGUACUACCUGUUAGGUCCUCUGCUUAUUGUUUUUAUUAAGUAAUUAAUUUUUUGACAGGGUCUCACUGUGUAGCUCUGGCUGGCCUGGAAUUUACUACCUGCCUCUGUCUCCCAAGUGCUGGGAUUAAUGGUAUGCACCAUGCCUGGCCCUUCUAAUCCAAUGUUUUAAAUUUUUUUUUAAAUGUAUCUUUUCUCCUUUCUUUUGCUGUAGACCGAGCCCUGUGCCUCAAGCAUAUUUAGCACAUGCUCUAUCACUGAGCUUCACCACUUGUCCCGUCUUUUCCUUAAUAUUUCCUCAAAGAGCAGUUUAUAUAGGACAGUUAAUAUUACUACAAUGCAACAAAUAUUUUUUGUUAAUUGCCUUUUAAUAGGCAACAAAGGUUUUUCGUUUUUCGAGACAGGGUUUCUCUGUGUAGCUUUGCGCCUUUCCCGGGACUCGCUUGGUAGCCCAGGCUGGCCUCGAACUCACAGAGAUCCACCUGGCUCUGCCUCCCGAGUGCUGGGAUUAAAGGCGUGCGCCACCACCGCCCGGCCGGCAACAAAGGUUUUUGUUUUAAACAUUUCAUGCUGGAGCUUGGAAUGCAGCUUAGUGGUAAAGCACUUGUGUAUGAGUCUCUGGGGUUAACCCUAGUAGUACAAAAAGAAGAAGAAAAAAAAAAACAAACAAAAUAAAAACAAAACCCAGUGCUGUUUGCUGUCAGUCUUUAUUUUUAAUUUUGAUCAAUAACAAAUGUACCAAAUAAACAGUGACCUGUGCUGAGUCUAUGUAACUGAUAUGGCUUAGUUUCCUAAUCUAUGAAAUGGGUAUUGAAUCUAACGGUUACACUAAUUUGGCACACGGUGAUGCAUGUUUACCUCUCAGUCAUUACCACAGUAGCUGGCUGUAUUUACAAUCAGU